Molecule: ribosomal RNA, 1316 nt
Filed under: Phymatophaea testacea
Lineage: Eukaryota; Metazoa; Arthropoda; Insecta; Coleoptera; Cleridae
Description: SSU rRNA
Rfam family: Eukaryotic small subunit ribosomal RNA
Source: RNAcentral
UUGUCUCAAAGAUUAAGCCAUGCAUGUCUCAGUACAAGCCAAAUUAAGGUGAAACCGCGAAAGGCUCAUUAAAUCAGUUAUGGUUCCUUAGAUCGUACCCACACUUACUUGGAUAACUGUGGUAAUUCUAGAGCUAAUACAUGCAAACAGAGCUCCGACCGGAGACGGAAGGAGCGCUUUUAUUAGAUCAAAACCAAUCGGUGGCGGGUCCGCUCGUCAUCGUAUAACUUGGUGACUCUGAAUAACUUUAAGCUGAUCGCACGGUCUAGCACCGGCGACGCAUCUUUCAAAUGUCUGCCUUAUCAACUGUCGAUGGUAGGUUCUGCGCCUACCAUGGUCGUAACGGGUAACGGGGAAUCAGGGUUCGAUUCCGGAGAGGGAGCCUGAGAAACGGCUACCACAUCCAAGGAAGGCAGCAGGCGCGCAAAUUACCCACUCCCGGCACGGGGAGGUAGUGACGAAAAAUAACGAUACGGGACUCAUCCGAGGCCCCGUAAUCGGAAUGAGUACACUCUAAACCCUUUAACGAGGAUCAAUUGGAGGGCAAGUCUGGUGCCAGCAGCCGCGGUAAUUCCAGCUCCAAUAGCGUAUAUUAAAGUUGUUGCGGUUAAAAAGCUCGUAGUCGAAUUUGUGUCCCGCGCCGCCGGUUCAUCGUCCGCGGUGUUAACUGGCGUGUCGCGGGACGUCCUGCCGGUGGGCUUAGCUCUUCGGGGCGGUCCAACUCAAUCCCGCCGCGGUGCUCUUUACUGAGUGUCGAGGUGGGCCGGCACGUUUACUUUGAACAAAUUAGAGUGCUUAAAGCAGGCUAAAACUUCGCCUGAAUACUGUGUGCAUGGAAUAAUGGAAUAGGACCUCGGUUCUAUUUUGUUGGUUUUCGGAACCCCGAGGUAAUGAUUAAUAGGAACGGAUGGGGGCAUUCGUAUUGCGACGUUAGAGGUGAAAUUCUUGGACCGUCGCAAGACGGACAGAAGCGAAAGCAUUUGCCAAAAACGCUUUCAUUGAUCAAGAACGAAAGUUAGAGGUUCGAAGGCGAUCAGAUACCGCCCUAGUUCUAACCAUAAACGAUGCCAGCUAGCGAUCCGCCGACGUUCCUCCGAUGACUCGGCGGGCAGCUUCCGGGAAACCAAAGCUUUUGGGUUCCGGGGGAAGUAUGGUUGCAAAGCUGAAACUUAAAGGAAUUGACGGAAGGGCACCACCAGGAGUGGAGCCUGCGGCUUAAUUUGACUCAACACGGGAAAUCUCACCAGGCCCGGACACCGGAAGGAUUGACAGAUUGAGAGCUCUUUCUUGAUUCGGUGGGUGGUGGUGCAUGGCCG